This 460-nucleotide ribosomal RNA is filed under the name uncultured bacterium. Its description in RNAcentral is "partial 16S ribosomal RNA". It matches the Rfam family "Bacterial small subunit ribosomal RNA", at positions 338 to 795 of the family's 1533-position model. The record is from RNAcentral.
CCUACGGGAGGCUGCAGUGAGGAAUAUUGGUCAAUGGGCGGAAGCCUGAACCAGCCAAGUCGCGUGAGGGAAUAAGGCCCUACGGGUCGUAAACCUCUUUUGCCGGGGAGCAAGGGCGGGGACGUGUCCCGGCCCGGAGAGUACCCGGAGAAAAAGCAUCGGCUAACUCCGUGCCAGCAGCCGCGGUAAUACGGGGGAUGCGGGGGUUAUCCGGAUUUCUGGGGGUAAAAGGGGUCGUGGGGGGGCUUUUGCGUCAGCGGUAAGACUUCGGGGCUCAACCCCGCCCGGCCGGUGACACUGGGGGCCUUGAGUGGGGGAGAAGAAGGCGGAAUGCGUGGUGUAGCGGUGAAAUGCAUAGAUAUCACGCAGAACCCCGAUGGCGAAGGCAGCCUUCCGGCGCCCUACUGACGCUGAGGCACGAAAGUGCGGGGAUCGAACAGGAUUAGAUACCCGGGUAGUC